AACCUAGCACACCUGCGGUGUGUACCUGCGGAAGGAUCAUUACCGAGUUUACAACUCCCAAACCCCUGUGAACAUACCUAUACGUUGCCUCGGCGGAUCAGCCCGCGCCCCGUAAAACGGGACGGCCCGCCCGAGGACCCCUAAACUCUGUUUUUAGUGGAACUCCUGAGUAAAACAAACAAAUAAAUCAAAACUUUCAACAAUGGAUCU
This 210-nucleotide unclassified non-coding RNA is filed under the name soil metagenome. Its description in RNAcentral is "partial contains 5.8S ribosomal RNA, internal transcribed spacer 2, and large subunit ribosomal RNA". The record is from RNAcentral.